UGAACCGGCGAGUUACGAUUUGAUGCAAGGUUAAGCAGUAAAUGUGGAGCCGUAGCGAAAGCGAGUCUGAAUAGGGCGUUUAGUAUUUGGUCGUAGACCCGAAACCAGGUGAUCUACCCUUGGUCAGGUUGAAGUUCAGGUAACACUGAAUGGAGGACCGAACCGACUUACGUUGAAAAGUGAGCGGAUGAACUGAGGGUAGCGGAGAAAUUCCAAUCGAACCUGGAGAUAGCUGGUUCUCUCCGAAAUAGCUUUAGGGCUAGCCUCAAGUGAUGAUUAUUGGAGGUAGAGCACUGUUUGGACGAGGGGCCCCUCUCGGGUUACCGAAUUCAGACAAACUCCGAAUGCCAAUUAAUUUAACUUGGGAGUCAGAACAUGGGUGAUAAGGUCCGUGUUCGAAAGGGAAACAGCCCAGACCACCAGCUAAGGUCCCAAAAUAUAUGUUAAGUGGAAAAGGAUGUGGCGUUGCCCAGACAACUAGGAUGUUGGCUUAGAAGCAGCCAUCAUUUAAAGAGUGCGUAAUAGCUCACUAGUCGAGUGACACUGCGCCGAAAAUGUACCGGGGCUAAACAUAUUA
Molecule: ribosomal RNA, 577 nt
Filed under: Staphylococcus aureus
Lineage: Bacteria; Bacillati; Bacillota; Bacilli; Caryophanales; Staphylococcaceae
Description: partial 23S ribosomal RNA
Rfam family: Bacterial large subunit ribosomal RNA
Source: RNAcentral